RNAcentral lists this unclassified non-coding RNA (245 nucleotides) under Hevea brasiliensis (rubber tree). Lineage: Eukaryota; Viridiplantae; Streptophyta; Magnoliopsida; Malpighiales; Euphorbiaceae. The record is from RNAcentral.
GAUUCCAUUUGCCCAAAUUGCAAAAACCGUGAAUUAAGCAGUUAUAAGUGACCACAUUAAGCUCCACACUGAUCUGAAACAUUAGUUUGAUUAUAUUUUGCGCCUCUGAAAUCAUUCCUUCUUUACAAAGAGUAUCAAUUAAUAUACUGAAGGUAAUAACAUUUGGGGAAAUGUUCUGUCCGACCAUUUCAUUCAACAGGGCCAAAGCUUGGUUCCAUUUACCUAAAUUGCAAAGACCAUGAAUU